This 109-nucleotide ribosomal RNA is filed under the name Leptotrombidium deliense. Lineage: Eukaryota; Metazoa; Arthropoda; Arachnida; Trombidiformes; Trombiculidae. The record is from RNAcentral.
GAGGACGAUCAUACCACGUUGACAACACCAGGUAUCGUCUGAUCCCUGACGUCGGGCCGAGUCAGUACGUUGCAAGUAGACCACCUGGGAACACUCGGUGUCAUAGACA